GACGAACGCUGGCGGCGUGCUUAACACAUGCAAGUCGAACGGAAAGGCCCUGCUUUUGUGGGGUGCUCGAGUGGCGAACGGGUGAGUAACACGUGAGUAACCUGCCCUUGACUUUGGGAUAACUUCAGGAAACUGGGGCUAAUACCGGAUAGGAGCUCCUGCUGCAUGGUGGGGGUUGGAAAGUUUCGGCGGUUGGGGAUGGACUCGCGGCUUAUCAGCUUGUUGGUGGGGUAGUGGCUUACCAAGGCUUUGACGGGUAGCCGGCCUGAGAGGGUGACCGGGCACAAUUGGACCGAGAUACCGCCCCGACCUCUACCGGGGGGAGCCGGUGGGAAUAUUUCAACAUGGGGCGAAGGCUGAUGGCGCCAACCCGGGUGCGGGGAGGACGGCCUUGGGUUUUAAACCGCCUUUGCCUGUGACGGAGGGUGAGGUAAGGUAAUGGGUAAAGAAGCACCGGCUAACUACGUG
Molecule: ribosomal RNA, 468 nt
Filed under: uncultured bacterium
Lineage: Bacteria
Description: partial 16S ribosomal RNA
Rfam family: Bacterial small subunit ribosomal RNA
Source: RNAcentral